Haliotis rufescens (red abalone) is the source of this 379-nucleotide long non-coding RNA. RefSeq lists it as uncharacterized. The transcript has 3 exons. Lineage: Eukaryota; Metazoa; Mollusca; Gastropoda; Lepetellida; Haliotidae. The record is from RefSeq and is a predicted model, not a curated record.
UCUACCAUCUCUUAGUGUUAUUUUUUUUUAAACAUAUAUAUCUAUUAACGAACUAAAUGUUGUCACAAGCAAUAUUACAGUUAAAAACAAUUGGCGCGUAUUUUUUGCGGCGUGAGAGCGACUGCAGAAAAGUUUAGCCUGUUGCCUCGUGAAGUGACGUCAGAAUGACGUCACAUUGUCGCGGAAGAUUUGUUGUCACCAGCCAUCUUAGCUCAAACUCACUCUGGACAUAAUAUAUUACAAGCAAGUGAUUGUGCAGCAACUGGAACUGGACAGAUGAUCUGUGAAUUCGAUUGAGGUGGAGAAAACAGUAUUGUGGGAGCGUAUUUGUUUAAAGUACAUAUCACUGACAGAAAGUUACCAAGGCAUAAGGAGAGAC